GUUUCAGCUAAAUAAGUAGUUGUUAUGCUUAUUGUGGGCAAGCCACCAGAAGCAGCAAGAUACACAUUUUGCUAGUUAAUUCGUGUUGUUGGAACCAUGAAAGAGCCACACUUUCAGAUAGAGUUUCUCCAGGUUUGGAUGGAGGAGCUGACCUUUGACUUAUGCGAGGAGAUUUGGUCUCAAUGGGAGAGUUCAUGGAGUGCAAACUGUCAUGUACCAGGAAUUGCUGCGGUGCCCAUGGAGGCAGUGCCAAGGCUAUUGUAGGAGCUGAAUAGUGCGCCGCCACCUUGUGGCUCACCUUUGUCAGUGCCGGUGGACCCAUCGAGGUGAUAUCAGUUGGUGCCAACAGAGGAGGUGGUGCAGACGGAGGAGGCAGUCUUGACUCUGUUACUUGUGCUUUGGGCUCAGCGGUACGGCCUGUGCCGG
This is a long non-coding RNA of Mauremys reevesii (Reeves's turtle), 426 nucleotides long. RefSeq lists it as uncharacterized. The transcript is spliced from 3 exons. The record is from RefSeq and is a predicted model, not a curated record. NCBI's taxonomy places the organism in Eukaryota, Metazoa, Chordata, Testudines, Geoemydidae.